AAACAUUCCGCCUGGGGAGUACGGUCGCAAGAUUAAAACUCAAAGGAAUAGACGGGGACCCGCACAAGUGGUGGAGCAUGUGGUUUAAUUCGAAGAUACGCGAAGAACCUUACCUAGCCUUGACAUAUUUUAGAACUCCGCAGAGAUGCAGAGGUGCCUUCGGGAGCUAAUUUACAGGUGCUGCACGGCUGUCGUCAGCUCGUGUCGUGAGAUGUUGGGUUAAGUCCCGCAACGAGCGCAACCCUCGUCACUAGCUACUAACGGUUCGGCCGAGGACUCUAGUGAGACUGCCUUCGUAAGGAGGAGGAAGGUGUGGACGACGUCAAGUCAUCAUGGCCCUUACGGCUAGGGCAACACACGUGCUACAAUGGCCAGGACAGUGAGACGCAAUACCGCGAGGUGGAGCAAAUCUAUAAACCUGGUCUCAGUUCGGAUUGUUCUCUGCAACUCGAGAACAUGAAGCUGGAAUCACUAGUAAUCGUAGAUCAGCUAUGCUACGGUGAAUACGUUCCCGGGUCUUGUACUCACCGCCCGUCACACCAUGGGAGUUGAUUUCACCCGAAGCGGGGAAGCUAAACUGGCUACCCUCCACGGUGGAAUUAGCGACUGGGGUGAAGUUCUAGCAACAUA
Molecule: ribosomal RNA, 630 nt
Filed under: uncultured bacterium
Lineage: Bacteria
Description: bacterial SSU rRNA
Rfam family: Bacterial small subunit ribosomal RNA
Source: RNAcentral